Molecule: ribosomal RNA, 164 nt
Filed under: uncultured bacterium
Lineage: Bacteria
Description: partial 16S ribosomal RNA
Rfam family: Bacterial small subunit ribosomal RNA
Source: RNAcentral
UAGGGAAUCUUCCACAAUGGAGGAAAGUCUGAUGGAGCAACGCCGCGUGAGUGAAGAAGGGUUUCGGCUCGUAAAACUCUGUUGUUAAAGAAGAACAUAUCUGAGAGUAACUGUUCAGGUAUUGACGGUAUUUAACCAGAAAGCCACGGCUAACUGCGUGCCAA